AACAAUAAAAAAGCCGCCAAGCAAUAUAUGAUUUUCCCCUGGAGAGAGCAAAAGAAAUCUCAGACAAGACAUUCCAACAGCAGUGCAUCGCUGAAUGAUUAAAUCAGCAAUUAUACUGAAUAUGGCUGCUUGCUACAUGCCCCUUACUGUGAACAAAAAUGAAUUCACAUUUGAUCAAGGCUGCAUGUUUGCUUGCUGGCAUCAGUCGAGUUAAGCUAUUAUCGUUAAAGUCUUGCAGAGAAAUCGGAAUGGGAAGUCCAUCAUAAAAGAGCGUUAUCACCCCCUGAAUCCAUCUUUUCAGGCUCCUCCAUUAUGCGGUCAUAUCUGAGCAGACGCUUUCAGCUAAAAAAAAGAACAUAUGGAAACUUUGUGAAAACCAUGUUGAAUAAGGCUGAACAUAUUGCUGGUAUGCUUUUAACCUAACAUAGCAUCCGUCUCUGUUUUAGCCUGUGUUUGUGUUGAAGACUCAAAGUUUCCUGGUGUUGUGUUUUAAUUUUUUUCUCAUGUUUGUUUCGUUAAAAAAAAAAAGGAUUUUGCUGACUUUGGUUACACUGAGAAAUUUUCUGAAAGUUCUUUGUAAGAUCUGACGUCAUCACGUGUGACAUCCUGAACAAACAGAAAGACAACAUGGAUUCACUUUGUUGCAUUAUUUUACUGCUUGUUUUUAUUCCAUUCUGACAUUAUUGUUAAGCUGCUUGUUGCUGAUUUUAUUUAGUUGCAUAUUUCUCAUUUCUACAGGUACUCCUGCUUCAUGUUAACCGCCUACUCUGUGUUAGCACAACGGAGGAUGGUUAUCAGUCUGAGAAGAUGACUUCCACUGAAACAGAUUAUAUGGCUGAUAGUGUUGCAGCUCCCGUGUGAAUGAGCAGAAAAGGCGGAUAAAAAGCGAUACUUGACCGAGGCCCUGUCCAUAUCAACGAGACUCUUUUUACAGCAUUGUAGCAUUUAGGACAGAAUAUUUACUGAUAUAUAUCUAGUAUUUGCUGUUGGAUGUACUGUUAAAAUGAACAAUCUCUGCCAAAUUUACCAUCUGUGUAAGAGCAAAAACAAAACCAAUUUAUUUGUAUACCAUGCUAAAUAAAUUCAGACAGUAAGAGGUUACAGUAGAAAUAUAAAAACACAACAGUUUAAGAUUUAAAACCCAGGCAUUGUUUAAUGGAUUUGCAUUGUUGGUUUCUUAAGACAGAGUGAAAAGCUUCAGUGAAACAAGUUGGAGGGCGGUCCAAGCAGAGGGAGCAGAGAAGCUGAAGGCUUUCUUUCCUGUUUCAGUUUGAGCAAGAGGAGCGGAGAAAUACAAAAUGUCAUUUGAUCAUAAGACAAAUCUGCACUGCGUCAACCUCUGCACUACUUUCCUGAAGUGAAGAGGAUCAGAGCUGCUUUGAUCAGAGCUGGAAAACUGAGGAGGAACAGAUGGGCUGGUCCCACCAAGCACAGCCAGGUGUGAUCAGAGGACUUCUCAGCAAACUGCUUCAAACAAGAAACCUCUGAAUUCACCAGAGAAAUGAUGUCAGAGGUCAGAUAUCUGACAGAUGAAGAAGAAAGUUGAAGCAGAGUCUAAAGCCUCGCUGUUCAGAGCAUCUGAUGGGAAAAGAUCUCCAAUAAAAGAUUGUUUUUGCUGUUGCUAAACGGAUCAAGGCUCAGCAGACCCUGAACCAACAGAUCCUGUUACAGAAAUGAGUCCACAGCUCUGCAGAGACCGAGCCUAAACCAGUCGACUUCUUCCCACCAGCAUCCUGACAGCUCUCCUCACGCUAUGCUGGGAUAGGGGCAGAUGGAGGAAAACACUCCAGCAGCUUAAAAGCCCAUUCAGCUUAACUCAAAUUUCCCCUUGGAUAUGAUACCGCAUCGUGAUAGCAAAGGGAAUGUGGGAAAGAUAGUGUAA
Long non-coding RNA from Girardinichthys multiradiatus, 1882 nucleotides. RefSeq lists it as uncharacterized. The record is from RefSeq and is a predicted model, not a curated record. The transcript is spliced from 3 exons. Lineage: Eukaryota; Metazoa; Chordata; Actinopteri; Cyprinodontiformes; Goodeidae.